AUUUUCUUUAUUUUUGUAUUGCUAAGUUAUAACUAGAUUUUACUAUUGUGAGACUUUUUUAUUUAUUUCAGAAACUUAUGGCGAAGCACGAUUACAUUUAAAAAAAGCGGAAGAAACCUGAAAUUUGGACUCAGACGAAGCAGAAAAUGAUGUUACAAAUGAAGUGACAGUGGACAUAAUGUCUGCUGUAAAUUACCCAGUCACCUCCGGUUCUAAAGAGGCCAAGCAAACACAACUCAAAGCUGUUAACUGCCAAUCAGAGUGCAUUACAAACAAGCAAUAUGCUAUACAGCAGAGUCAUAUGAUUCAGAUUGUGUCAGACCUAGCUAACCAAAUGGCUGAAAUCAAUAGAAAAUUGGAUUUACCGUUAGCUAGGUCCGAAGAAACAUUUUCACCAACAGAUGACAAUGCAGGUCUUUCAGAACUUUUGGCAAGUCUACCAGUAAAGAUAUUGCAAGUUUUAAUAAUUUCGAUGACCAUUUAAAAAUAAACAAGAAUACAGGCAAUAAUGUCAUUUUUGUCUGGUAUUGGCGGCAGAAAUGUAAGAAGCCUUACGACUAAUAUGUUGAGACGAAUAAUUCUAGAUGAUGUAGCCGAGUUGUAUUCGUUAACUGGGAAACAGAUGAAAAAUUCGAAUAAAAAGUCAUUUAUGAGUACAGAAACCUAUAAAUUAAUCUUUCAAAUAUGUAGAAAAAUCAACGAAGAUGUAACUGAAGACAGUCUAAAAGAAAUUAUAAGUGAUUGGCUAAAUCAAGCUAAAGUUAGACUUUCAAGAAGAGCAGAAACACAAAAUAAAGAAAAAACCAAUAGCGGCGACCAUGAAACCGAUUUUUUCUCAUUUAAAGUAAGAUAAGAUAAAAGUAUAAAUAAUAAAAAAAUAUAUGUUA
Ostrinia nubilalis (European corn borer) is the source of this 887-nucleotide long non-coding RNA. RefSeq lists it as uncharacterized. The transcript has 5 exons. The record is from RefSeq and is a predicted model, not a curated record. NCBI's taxonomy places the organism in Eukaryota, Metazoa, Arthropoda, Insecta, Lepidoptera, Crambidae.